This 124-nucleotide non-coding RNA is filed under the name Phascolarctos cinereus (koala). The record is from RNAcentral. Lineage: Eukaryota; Metazoa; Chordata; Mammalia; Diprotodontia; Phascolarctidae.
AUGUUGCGUGAAAAAGAAGGUUAGCAUUCCACUUGAUAAAGAUGGAAGAGGCUCUAAUGACCUUUUCAGCACACGUAUGAUUAUGGCAUUGCAUCUAUUCUGUGAUAUCUAAUCAUGUAUGUAA